GAUCCUGGCUCAGGAUGAACGCUAGCGAUAGGCCUAACACAUGCAAGUCGAGGGGCAGCAUAGAGUAGCAAUACUUGAUGGCGACCGGCGCACGGGUGAGUAACACGUAUGCAACCUACCUACAUCAGGGGAAUAACCCGGAGAAAUUCGGACUAAUACCGCAUAAUACAGGGAUGCCGCAUGGCAAUAUUUGUUAAAGAUUUAUCGGAUGUAGAUGGGCAUGCGUUCCAUUAGCUGGUUGGUAAGGUAACGGCUUACCAAGGCAACGAUGGAUAGGGGAACUGAGAGGUUUGUCCCCCACACUGGAACUGAGACACGGACCAGACUCCUACGGGAGGCAGCAGUGAGGAAUAUUGGUCAAUGGACGAGAGUCUGAACCAGCCAAAUCGCGUGAAAGGAAGACUGCCCUACGGGUUGUAAACUUCUUUUGUACAGGAAUAAAAGACAUUACGUGUAAUGUAUUGCAUGUACUGUACGAAUAAGCAUCGGCUAACUCCGUGCCAGCCGCCGC
RNAcentral lists this ribosomal RNA (511 nucleotides) under uncultured bacterium. Its description in RNAcentral is "bacterial SSU rRNA". It matches the Rfam family "Bacterial small subunit ribosomal RNA", at positions 15 to 518 of the family's 1533-position model. The record is from RNAcentral.